This is a long non-coding RNA of Thunnus maccoyii (southern bluefin tuna), 2434 nucleotides long. RefSeq lists it as uncharacterized. The record is from RefSeq and is a predicted model, not a curated record. Lineage: Eukaryota; Metazoa; Chordata; Actinopteri; Scombriformes; Scombridae. The transcript has 3 exons.
GCUCAAAAACAUUUAUCCGCUGAUUUACGGAAGUCUCUUUCACAAUCCCGGCGCUGUUCCUGGGGGCUUGACCUGCACAGAAGAACAACAGGUGGAAGAACGGUGACAAGUGCAGCUGCAGCAACAGCUCCACCUCGACUCGUCGUCAAGAAAAACAGUAAGAGUCGUAUGGAAGUCCUUUGCGUUCGAGGCGGAUCAUCAGGGAUUAAUAAUAUGUUGUCAAAAACCAAUAUGCACACGGUGCCAUCAAACUUUUCAAACGAAAGGAGGAAACACUUCCAACUUAGUGAUGCACCGCAAAGACAGACAUCUAGAUUUAUGUAAAAAAUUCAAGUCUCAGCCAGAGGAGGAUGUCGAUCAGGAGAGGCAGGAGCAAAGUCAGCAAACACACAGCCAACCAUAUCAGACGCUUUUUUGUAACGUUAAUUGUUAUUUCUUUUUAUUAUUAUAUAUUUUAUUAUUAUAUUAUUUCCAUAUGUUUUCAUAUCUUGGUCGGGUACUGCAAUUGGUAAUUUGCUAUCAUAACAAGUCGAUUGUAAUUAAGCACAGUAUUGUUUCUUUUAAGUACUUGAAGGCUAAAUGCCACUGUUGUUGUUUGUAAUGUUCAGAUGUUUUUAACAAAAGGAAUGUAUGUUGAAGUACAUGAGAUUUAUUGUUUUGUUUUUUGCCAUCAUAUUCAGUAUCGAGAAUCGUGUAAUUUCACUAGUAUUGGUAUUGACUACUAAAUUUCUGGUAUCGUGACAUCCCUACCUACAAACACUGAGACAGGAAAACGAGUUUUUGUACAAAGUCAGUCAUGCAGUGAACACAGUUAAGCAUAUUGUGAUAAUAAAUAGCAUGCAGAGGAGAUUGCAUUUACAUUUUGGGUGCUGACUUGGGCGUAAUGUUCUUCAGGUGGUUAUGAGAUAAAGAUAGGCCACUUCUACCAUUGUUUCUUUAUCUUUCAAGCUAAAAGGAUUUGGCUAACAAGCUCUGUGAUAAACUGACUGUCAGCCGUGCACAAUACAAACUCUAAAAUGUUUCAGAUGAUGUUCAUAAAACAGAUUAACCAGAUGUUCCAGCAUCUGUGGAAUAAAACUAUUUUCAUAUCCCCCCCACUUCGAUAUACAAUAUUUAUUAAUAAUAAUGUUUCUUUCAGUAUUUUGGCAUAGUCUUGUUUUUUGAGGGGUCUGAUUCAAUGUUCAAUUCCACAACAAAUGCUUACAUCAUAAUACAUGUAUCACUUGUCAUCUUCAAAUUAAGACCUUUAUCCAGCUGACUGACACCAGACUGACUCCGUUAAAUCCACACCUGGAUUAUUGAAGACAUCAUGCUAAUGCUUUAGCAAUUACACUUAACAUAAAACAUAAAAUAUUUGACACACAAGGGUCAGACAGGCUAAUGGAUCAAGGAUGGCUUUGGUUAUAAUUUGGCAGAAUUAAAAAUAAUGGUAAUAAUUAAUAUAUUAAAUAAUAUGUUGACACACGCAUGUGUUGACUUGAUCAUGAUCAUCACUCAUAUAUCAUUUCACACCAAAUGCAAGAUAAGAGGUUUUAUAUUGUAUAUUAAAUUACAACCCACAGGAUGCCCACGCUGGUGUUUUUGUGGUCUUUCACUCACAGAACAAAACCACUAUGGCAGGGAGCCUGUCGUCCCAAGAAAAAUGUCACAAUAGGUCAUAAUGUCAGUCGCCAAAAACAACGUAUAGUUACGUCUGAGUGACAGACACCUGGAGAAGCGGUGCAGUUGUCAUGGUUCUGUCCCAGUCUGGCUCUGUGUCCCUCCACCAGUCCACCAGAUGCCCUCAGUUUCUCAGUUCUCUGUUUGUUGAACUGGACUGAGUGGCAGUAGGCUCUUGAAGGUGAAAUUGAAGUUCGCUUUCACACUUGUUGUGAAAUGUGACUGAGGAGUUUGACACAUCUAGUUAGAUUUCUAAGAUGCAGCAGUUUAUACAGCAGGCAGUUCAUUUCACACGUCUUCUGUAUUUACAUUCAGGGCAUUUAGCAGAUGUUCUUAUCCAGAGACUGGCAGGUGUUUGUUCAAUGGCUGGACUCUCUGUAACUCAUCCUCAACGCAUUAUGAAAAAACGAGUUUGUUAACAUUUGUUUAUGUAGAUUUGAGUAAUUUGCAUUUACAGCCUGUGUGUGACAUGUUAGAAGAACUAGAAGAAUUGUUGUUAGAAGAAUUAUGAAAUUGUAAAUAAGAGUUUGCAGGUCAUAGUGUACUUUUGAUUUUAGUUUUUUCUUGUAUGUUCUUAGAUGGGCUUAUUGGAUAUAUAAGAGGAUUGGGUUUUUGGUUUUCUGUUUGCUCUGAGUUUUUCCUCCUGUCUGUGUUCCCAGCCUGCUUUUCUCUCCACACCUGCUCUGCAUCAGUCUCGCUAGCCCUGCCCUGCUCCCUGUGUCUUCCCCAGCCAAUGAGGUCCCAGUCUGCCCUUGUGUCUUGCCACCUGUUCCUU